RNAcentral lists this unclassified non-coding RNA (275 nucleotides) under Hevea brasiliensis (rubber tree). Lineage: Eukaryota; Viridiplantae; Streptophyta; Magnoliopsida; Malpighiales; Euphorbiaceae. The record is from RNAcentral.
AUAGAUAUGGUUUGUGAUUUUGUAAAUUUGAGUUGUGCAUAGAACUCCUCUCUUUCCUUCUGAUUUGAUGAAUUUUGAGUGUACUUCUCUGUACACAAGUACUGUGUGGCUUGAUUACGGUUAUUGACUGAUUUUCUGGCUUUAUUUUCUAUUUCAUUAUGAUAUUAGGCCAUGAUUUGAGAUUGUUUUGGUUGUGGCGUCAGCUUGCUUUGGUGAGAGAAAGCCGGGUCCAUGCCACCCCAGUUACAUGUACCUUAAUUAAGAAAUUAAAAAUA